UUCAGCCUCAACAUGAACAUGGGUUUCAUUAGGGAGUUACAGAGACUCUCUGGUGGUGGUGAUGGUGGUGUGAUUUUCAGCCCAACUUUUGAUCUGGAAACUUCUAUCUUUUCUCCCCACCUUCCUCCAGAUUUGAGGUUGAAAGGAGGAGAGGGAAGAGAAGGGAGGAGAGAGAAUCAAAGAACCGGCCCUCGGCUCUCCUGUGUCCCAUCUCUCUUCCUGCUUCAAGGAUACAUAGGGAAGAAUUGGACCUGAAUGAAGGAUACCUAAGACACAGGGCCCAAGAAGAAGGACGAGAGAAUCACUGCAUAAGAGAAUCAAGGUGGGGAAGAGAUCUAAGGACAUUCUACCAGGGAAUUUCAAUACCUGAAGACAGGUGUCUAUGAUAAGGAGAAAUUGGAAAAUGUGUGUAAUGAAAUUUGAG
This 424-nucleotide long non-coding RNA is filed under the name Vombatus ursinus (common wombat). RNAcentral's name for it is "lncRNA (ENSVURG00010018500.1)". The record is from RNAcentral. Lineage: Eukaryota; Metazoa; Chordata; Mammalia; Diprotodontia; Vombatidae.